Benincasa hispida (wax gourd) is the source of this 1047-nucleotide long non-coding RNA. RefSeq lists it as uncharacterized. The record is from RefSeq and is a predicted model, not a curated record. NCBI's taxonomy places the organism in Eukaryota, Viridiplantae, Streptophyta, Magnoliopsida, Cucurbitales, Cucurbitaceae.
UCAAAUGUCUGAAAUUUCAAACCCAUUUUCAAGUAAAAGCCUCCAAAAUACAUUCCCGUUUUCAAACUCUCGCGGUUCCCAAUCUCCUUCGAAAUUUCGCCGACGGAAAUGGAGAAGGAUACGAACGGCGACGAAUGUCUAACUCCGAGGAGCUGCGGUUGUAGAAUUCCGGCGCUGUCCAAAUGCCCGCCACCGCCGAAGAAGAAAGCGAUCACCAGCCGGAAGCUGGCCCCUCCGACUAGCGGUUAUUUCCAGCCUCCCGAUCUCGAUGCUCUGUUUUCCAUGCAGCCUUCAUCACGAUGGGAAGCGUGUGCCUAGCUGCAUCACGGCAUGGCAGCCAAAACAGAGGGAUAGGGAGAGGUACCUGUCAGUGUCGCAGUGAGAUGGAUGAUGGUGUUGGUUCUUUUGCUCCAUUAUCGAUGGUGAAGAAAGGAUGGAAAUGGCAGGAAGCCAACCAGACCAUCUGUUUCGAUCGUGUUGAUGAAUAAAAGCAAGUGAAAGGGUUGGGAAAGAGAGGAUUGGCUUUUGAAUUUAUCCUUCCAAGGGGCACCUGGCCGAGGCUAAGGAAGCAUACUGCACAUGAUUACUUCCAAUGCUCUUGUCUCAACUCACUCACUGCUUUGCAACGACGUCUUUUUGGCUGUCGUGGGAUGUGAUGUGCGAAUGGCACGUCUUUUCCUGCCGCCUUUCUGACGGCGUAUGUGGAGUACUCUACAUUACAUAUCCCUUCUUCCUAGUUUCUUAACCUUUUAUAAUUUUAAAGUUUCAAUUAGGUUCUAGGUUCCCUAUAAUUUGUUUUCUGGGUACAGAAAUUUUCGGUGGUAACACAUAUUUGUUCGAUUCGACGGGUCGUUUAAUGAUGUAUUAUUGUAUUCUAGUAGUAGUAUAGUAAAUAGGUUGAGAUACUAUUUUAGAGGUUUGACUUUAGUCAUGUAAUAUGUGGAGUAUAGUCCAAGGCAAGAUCCGGACCUACAAGUAGUUCUAAGUCAUAGGAUACUAUGAAAGUCUACGUGUUCUAAAAAAGAAAGUCAAAGCUUUGAGUCUUGG